AUUCAAAUAAUUUAAAUAUUAAAAUGUUAGCUUGUGGCGCUAAAAAUGUAUAGAUAUACUUUGAGUA
Molecule: transfer RNA, 67 nt
Filed under: Trapezia cymodoce
Lineage: Eukaryota; Metazoa; Arthropoda; Malacostraca; Decapoda; Trapeziidae
Description: tRNA-His
Source: RNAcentral